This 373-nucleotide ribosomal RNA is filed under the name uncultured organism. Its description in RNAcentral is "bacterial SSU rRNA". It matches the Rfam family "Bacterial small subunit ribosomal RNA", at positions 526 to 896 of the family's 1533-position model. The record is from RNAcentral.
CGUAGGGUGCGAGCGUUGUCCGGAAUUAUUGGGCGUAAAGAGCUCGUAGGCGGUUUGUUGCGUCGGCCGUGAAAACUUGGGGCUUAACCCCGAGCCUGCGGUCGAUACGGGCAGACUUGAGUUCGGCAGGGGAGACUGGAAUUCCUGGUGUAGCGGUGAAAUGCGCAGAUAUCAGGAGGAACACCGGUGGCGAAGGCGGGUCUCUGGGCCGAUACUGACGCUGAGGAGCGAAAGCGUGGGGAGCGAACAGGAUUAGAUACCCUGGUAGUCCACGCCGUAAACGGUGGGUGCUAGGUGUGGGGGGCUUCCGACGUCCUCCGUGCCGCAGCUAACGCAUUAAGCACCCCGCCUGGGGAGUACGGCCGCAAGGCUA